AAAAAAAUUAUUUUGACACAGUUUCGUGCUAUGUAGUGCAGGAGGAUCACCGUGAGUUUGAGGGCAGCCUGAACUGCAUAGUGAGACCCUGUCUCAAAAACAAAAAAACAGAAAGAACAAUGUUUUGGGGGGGUUUUUGGUGCCAGGGAUCGAACUGGGGUCCUUGUGGUUUUGAGGCAGGUGGCAGAACCACUGAGCUAAAUCGUUGGCCCCAAAGAACAACCUUGAUUUCUAGAGCUGAGCAUGGUAGUGCCACACCUGUAAUUCCACCACUCUGGACAGCUGAGACAGGAGAAUCACAUUGAGACCCAACCUGGAAACGUAGUCA
Heterocephalus glaber (naked mole-rat) is the source of this 328-nucleotide long non-coding RNA. The record is from Ensembl. NCBI's taxonomy places the organism in Eukaryota, Metazoa, Chordata, Mammalia, Rodentia, Bathyergidae.